CGUUUAGGGGUAAACCUGAGAAACCCGAAAGGUCGAAGGGUGAAAUUCAAAUGCUGCUAGCGACCGGAGGCUGGUGGUCGAGCGACGGAAGACGUUCGCGUCAACCGCGCCCUCUGCCAGUCGAGCCGGCUGCGAGCGCGUGCACUUUUCACCUGGUAGGACGCCGCGAUUCGUUGGGUGUCGGUCUACGGUGCGUGGUGGAGCCUACGUGUCUUCCUCGGAAGACAAGCAGACCCACGCUACCCGGCCGACUUGCUCGACGGUAUCUGAAUGGUUGCUGGCCGCUCCUCAGCGAGCGUUCGACUCGUGGCAAGCACGUCAGACCAGUCGGUGACCGGACCUAGUGCCGAUUCUGACUACUGGCGACUGUUGGCUGCGAUGUUUUCGAACAGACCACGCUCAAAACCGAUCAGCGACGCUAUAGCUUUGGGUACUUUCAGGACCCGUCUUGAAACACGGACCAAGGAGUCUAGCAUGUGCGCGAGUCAUUGGGAUUCACACUAAACCUAAAGGCGCAAUGAAAGUGAAGGUUUCUGCUUGCAGAGACCGAGGGAAGAUGGGUGGCUCGCCCUUAAAAGCGACCGCUCAGCACUCCCGGGGCGUCUCAUUCUCAUUGCGAGAGGAGGCGCACCAUGAGCGUACACGCUGGGACCCGAAAGAUGGUGAACUAUGCCUGGU
This 678-nucleotide ribosomal RNA is filed under the name Diplotrichus sp. MiLan09. RNAcentral's name for it is "Scolytinae gen. 2 BHJ-2020 sp. MiLan09 partial large subunit ribosomal RNA". It matches the Rfam family "Eukaryotic large subunit ribosomal RNA", at positions 406 to 841 of the family's 3401-position model. Lineage: Eukaryota; Metazoa; Arthropoda; Insecta; Coleoptera; Curculionidae. The record is from RNAcentral.